This 119-nucleotide ribosomal RNA is filed under the name Pseudognaphalium luteoalbum. Lineage: Eukaryota; Viridiplantae; Streptophyta; Magnoliopsida; Asterales; Asteraceae. The record is from RNAcentral.
GAGUGCGAUCAUACCAGCACUAACGCACCGGAUCCCAUCAGAACUCCGCAGUUAAGCGUGCUUGGGCGAGAGUAGUACUAGGAUGGGUGACCCCCUGGGAAGUCCUCGUGUUGCACCCN